GAUGAACGCUGGCGGCGUGCCUAAUACAUGCAAGUCGAGCGAACAGACGAGGAGCUUGCUCCUCUGACGUUAGCGGCGGACGGGUGAGUAACACGUGGAUAACCUACCUAUAAGACUGGGAUAACUUCGGGAAACCGGAGCUAAUACCGGAUAAUAUAUUGAACCGCAUGGUUCAAUAGUGAAAGACGGUUUUGCUGUCACUUAUAGAUGGAUCCGCGCCGCAUUAGCUAGUUGGUAAGGUAACGGCUUACCAAGGCAACGAUGCGUAGCCGACCUGAGAGGGUGAUCGGCCACACUGGAACUGAGACACGGUCCAGACUCCUACGGGAGGCAGCAGUAGGGAAUCUUCCGCAAUGGGCGAAAGACUGACGGAGCAACGCAGCGUGAGUGAUGAAGGUCUUCGGAUCGUAAAACUCUGUUAUUAGGGAAGAACAAAUGUGUAAGUAACUAUGCACGUCUUGACGGUACCUAAUCAGAAAGCCACGGCUAACUACGUG
RNAcentral lists this ribosomal RNA (497 nucleotides) under uncultured bacterium. RNAcentral's name for it is "partial 16S ribosomal RNA". It matches the Rfam family "Bacterial small subunit ribosomal RNA", at positions 28 to 507 of the family's 1533-position model. The record is from RNAcentral.